Molecule: transfer RNA, 75 nt
Filed under: Cordylochernes scorpioides
Lineage: Eukaryota; Metazoa; Arthropoda; Arachnida; Pseudoscorpiones; Chernetidae
Description: tRNA-Thr
Source: RNAcentral
UGUACAGGGAUGGGAAUCGAACCCACAGUGUUCCGCUUACCGGGCAGAUGCCAUGUUCACUAGGCUACCCUGGAC